GAAUAGCUCAGUUGGUUAGAGCAUGGUGCUGAUGAUGCCAGUGUUGCAGGUUCAAUCCCCAAAUGAGACA
Molecule: transfer RNA, 70 nt
Filed under: Podarcis lilfordi (Lilford's wall lizard)
Lineage: Eukaryota; Metazoa; Chordata; Lepidosauria; Squamata; Lacertidae
Description: tRNA.Ile
Source: RNAcentral